ACCCCUACGGGAGGCAGCAGUGGGGGAUAUUGCACAAUGGGGGAAACCCUGAUGCAGCGACGCCGCGUGGGUGAAGAAGCGCCUCGGCGCGUAAAGCCCUGUCAGCAGGGAAGAAAAUGACGGUACCUGAAGAAGAAGCCCCGGCUAACUACGUGCCAGCAGCCGCGGUAAUACGUAGGGGGCAAGCGUUAUCCGGAUUUACUGGGUGUAAAGGGGGCGCAGACGGCGAUGCAAGCCAGGAGUGAAAGCCCGGGGCCCAACCCCGGGACUGCUCUUGGAACUGGGGGCCUUGAGUGCGACGGAGG
RNAcentral lists this ribosomal RNA (305 nucleotides) under uncultured bacterium. Its description in RNAcentral is "bacterial SSU rRNA". It matches the Rfam family "Bacterial small subunit ribosomal RNA", at positions 335 to 657 of the family's 1533-position model. The record is from RNAcentral.